UACGUAGGGGCUAGCGUUGUCCGGAAUCAUUGGGCGUAAAGCGCGUGUAGGCGGCCCGAUAAGUCCGCUGUGAAAGUCCAGGGCUCAACCCUGGGAUGCCGGUGGAUACUGUCGGGCUCGAGUCCGGAAGAGGCGAGUGGAAUUCCUGGUGUAGCGGUGAAAUGCGCAGAUAUCAGGAGGAACACCAAUGGCGAAGGCAGCUCGCUGGGACGUGACUGACGCUGAGACGCGAAAGCGUGGGGAGCAAACAGG
Molecule: ribosomal RNA, 252 nt
Filed under: uncultured bacterium
Lineage: Bacteria
Description: partial 16S ribosomal RNA
Rfam family: Bacterial small subunit ribosomal RNA
Source: RNAcentral